CGCCCCGCACCGGCCGCGCACUUGGGGGAGGGCCCCGUGACUGGGGGAGGAAGGCCUCGCGAUGGAGGGAGGAAGGCCCCGUGACGGAGGAGGAAGGCCUCGCGAUGGAGGGAGGAAGGCCCCGUGACAGGGAGGAAGGCCUCAUGGUGGAGGGAGGAAGGCCCCGUGACAGGGAGGAAGGCCUCAUGGUGGAGGGAGGAAGGCCCCGUGACAGGGAGGAAGGCCUCAUGGUGGAGGGAGGAAGGCCGCGGGACGGCGGAGGAGGGCCACGGGGCGAGGGUGGGACGGUCUGCAGGGGGACGGCUGAAGAGCUCGGCCAGAUGCGCGGCCGCCUGGUCGUCAGCCCUGAGACCCAGAGCGGAUGACGUGGCCUUUGUAAGCCCGAGUUCUAGAAAAUGGAGGAAACUCCACUCCUAGGAUCUUGGGAGAAUCCAGUUGAAGAGGCACCGCCCUCAUAAUCAUUUUCGUUGGUGUUAUCUGCCGGGCUGUAAUCAUGGGUCCGGAGCGAAGAAAGGUGUUCUCGGAGCGAUGGGACCGCCUAGUGAGUGACUCGGGAACUUUAGAGAGCCUGACUUUUAUAUGAUUUUUUUUUUUUCAGCAAAAAGAGAAAGUCAGCACAUUAUUGUACAGCGAGAAGCACAACUUGAGAGAGGACCAGACACUUGCGCUCCCACAAAGCACCGUCUCUGAAGUUUGGGCCUAGGUCCCGGCUCAGUCUGCUUUUCAUGGUGGAAACUCAGACUCUCCAAAGCUGUACCUGGCGACUCCACAGGGCCUUCGUCACUGCCUUCCUCACCCGCCUCCCUCCUGUCCUGGUCUGCACUCAGCUCCUCGUUCUAGACUCUGGCUCUAGUCGACAGCCGUCGUCCAGCUCUCAGGACUUGGCGCUCCUGGAUAAGGGUCUGAUUCUGGUACUCUCUCUGGAUCCUCCACCCUGGAGGUGUCCGAGGGAAGCCAUGCUGGUGUUGGCUCUUGGGAAGCAACUCUGAGCUCUGGGGCAUAGCCUCCCGGAAGCGUGGCCAGGCUGCCCUCCCGGAGCCGCCGAGCCUCCUCCUCCUGCUUCUGUCUACGAAGGAAGGGGUGAGGGACCCCGAGGAUGGAGACAGCUCUGCAGAUUCUGACUCUGUGAGGCUUGAGAUUCAGUAAUGUUAACAAGCUCCCAGAUGAAGCCACUGCUGCUGGGCCACGCAUCACAGUGAGCAGCGGGCACAGACCACCACACACAAGGCAGCCGGUCACCUGAUGGCAGCUGGGCCCAAACUGGAGAUGAGCUACAAGAGAGAGAAUCGUCAGAGCCCUCAGGACUGGACUCAAAACGAAGUCAUGAAGUGAAAACAGUGCAUGUGAUGAUACAUCAUCUCGACAAAGCCACACAUCAACUGCACGAGAUGAGCAAUAUCAUAUUAUUGUUUAUAGAUGAGAAAACCAAGCCUCAGAGAGUCGCAGAGUCAGGUGGUGGGUGUCCUGGUUUCCCGCUGCUGCUUUACAGAAGAUCAUAAACUUUGUGGCUUAAACAUGACUCCUUUUUAUCUUAUGGUUCUAGAAGUCAGAAGUCCUAAAAUCAAGGCCUUGGCUCUAGGGGACUCCAUGAUACAUCUAUUCCCUCUUGAGGGGCUCUGGGAUGGAAUCUGUUUUCGUUCCUUAGCAGCUUCCAGAGGCUGCCGACAUUCCUUGGUGCAGGGUCCUUUUCUCCACCUUCAAAACCAACAUCUCUGACCCUUUGCCUUUAUUACCUCUCCAACCAUAGCCAGGGAAAGCACCUCUGCUUUUAAGGACUCAUGGAAUUAGACUGGGCCCAUCUGAAUAAUGCACGGCUCACCCAAUAUCUCAAGGUCUGUACCUUCAUCAAAUCUGCAAAAUCUCUUUUACUAUGUAAAUUAACAUGUUCACAGUUUCUAGGGAUUGAGGCGCAGACAUCUUUGGGGGCCAUCAUUCUACCUACCGAGGUAGGAAAACUAAGGUCUGGAACCUGGAAUCAAAUCCACUUCCGAUUCCAGAGUGCAUGCUCCUCCCAGGACACAACUCAAAACAGCAGCCAGACUGAGGAUUGUGGUUGAGUCUCCUGGAGCCCAAAUCAAGGAUGGAGUCUAGGUCAGCUGCGGCUAUAGGCAGCCUGAAUUCCAUUAUCAUUUUAGAUUGAACUAAAACAAGGCUGAGGCGGAUUUUGUUUAUCACAAUUCAUUUCGCAUUCUCCUUAGACUCCAUGAAACCCAGUCCUUCCGCACAACGGCGAUGCCUUGGGAGAAAGCACAAAUGUCUAACUGCAGUUCCCACUCGUUAUUUAACCCAACUAAAAGAAACAAGAUGGAAACCAAGGGAUAUCUUUACGAUCUGGCAAUGAAUUACUCAUACUUCCAAGCAAGCAUUUUGAAGCAGAUUUAGUAAAUGAGUUUUGAACGUUGAACUCUUCUGCAGAGAGCUUGAUGACUCCUGGGGUGGGGGGCUGUGAUCACUCAUCAAGACUCCCUACCGCCACAGCAGCCAGGCGCUCCUGGCGACAGAGCUAGCCCUUACAGCCAGCCAAAGUUCAUUCCACACUUGGUGAGUGCAUUCAGAACUUAGUUAUUUAUGUAUUUAUUUGAGAAGGGGGUGGGGAGGGGCAGAGGAAGAGAAUCGCCAGCAGACUCCACACUGAACACAGAGCCCAGCUCAGGGCUCAAUCUCACGACCCUGAGAUCAUAACCUGAGCCAAAACCAAGACUCAGAUGCGCAACCGACUGAACCAGCCAGGCGCCCCUGAACAGAGAAAAAUAUAAUGUGGUUCUUUCAAGCCCAUCUGCUGCAGAUGGCACCCCUGCCCCCCCAAAAAAAUUAAAAAAAAUAGAACUGAAGCUCUAACCCCCAGAACCUGAAAAUAUGGCCUUAUUUGAAAUUGGGGUCAUCAAAGAUGUCAUCUGUAGGAUGACUGGUUUCCUGGUAAGAGGAAACAGGCACAGCGGGUGCCCACGUGGCAACAGAGGCAGAGAUUAGAGGGACGCAUCCACAACCCAAGGGACACUGAGCGGUGCCGAGAACACCAGUGGCAGACGAGGCAAGGAAGGAUUCCUACCUGCCAACAUCUCAACUCUGAAUCCCCAGCCUCCAGAACGGUGGGACCAUAAUUCCUGUUUGAAGUCACCUGGCUUUGGGGGCUUGGCCACGACAGCCCUCGUAAACUGAUAAAUAGAAUCUCUCAGGAUGUUACAACUUCUUCUUUUCACUUUAUAGGAUGGAUGGAUUUCAGAAAAGCAACAGCAUCUGUCCAAACCCACCUCUGUGGCUGCAGCUGAGCUGUUGAGUAUCACUGGCGAGAGUCACACACCACAGAGCCUCGUCUCACUCUGUGUUCAUCGAUUCCAAGUUAUAUCUCCUCCUAAAUAUGUCUCUGAUUACUCACUUGUAUUUUGAAUAUUACCACUGUUAAAAAUUAUUAAAGAAGACAAGUGAAGUGACAAACUUUAUUUAACACAAAGCAUGAAAGUUCAAGAAGUGGGCAGUCUCCAUUCCCAAGUCCAGAGAACUGCAAAAUGGGGUGGAAGGCAGGAAGCAUAGCUCCCUGGUUCGAAGGGGCUCCAUCUUGGGCCUAGAAAUUUAUUUCAAUACCACUUUAAUUCAAGCCACUAUCACCUACGUUGCUUUUCCUACAAGAACACUCACUGUCCAUCAUCCUACACUCCGUGCACUGUCACCUUCUCAUUCUUCUCAUCUCCCUGCCAUCAUCACCUCCACAGAGUCCUAGCCUUCUAUAAUUCCUGAGGUCAGACCUGCCUUUCAGAUGCUCUUGGAGCUCAAGGCCACAGCUCCAGUUUUACAUUUAUUUGCAGGCUUGAUAGGUGUCUUUCCCAGUAGAUGGAAAUUCAAAACAAAAAUAGUCUUAGGCACUUCUAUCAUUGUAUCCUUAACACCCAGCAUAUGUCAUAUGCAGGCACUCAAUAAUUUGUUCAAUGAAAGUUGAACGAACAUUUAAUUUUCACCACCACCUGGAAAGGAAGCAAUUAUUCCCAUUUUUCAAAUGAGAAAAAUUAAGAAGCUCAGGAAAAUUACUUAAGUUGGAGAUAAUCAGAGACUCACCCAAGCUAUCUGAUUAUAAAGCUCAUCUUCUUUCUUAUGUACUCUAGUUCUCAUAAUGUCACACUCAAAUGUCAUAAACUAUUCUGGGCUAACACUGCCAGAGGCGGCAUCAGAGAUAGCAUCUCCCUGGUGCUAAAUGCAGGUAAGAAAACCUUUUCCAUCCAAAAGCAAUCGGCAUACAUCAAUAGUUCUUCACCUAGUAAUUCUGUUCCUAGCAAUUUUAAGACAUGUACACAAGAGUUUUUGAACAAGGAUGUUCACCACAGAACCAUGUUCAGAGAACAACCUUAGAGCAAAUUUUUUAUGCAGACACUAAAUACAUAUUUUAAAAUAUUUAAAUGAUGAGAAAAUGUUUAAAUAGAAUACUUCAUAAUUAAAAGAGCAAUAGACUAGCAAAAGGACACUAGAAUGAUCCCAGUUUAGGGGGCAAGUAUUUCUAUCUAUACAUAGUGAAGAAAAAUAAAAGAAAAUACAGCAAAAAUGUCAAUUAUCUCUAGGAAGAUCAUGGACAAUUUAUAUUUCCUUCC
Long non-coding RNA from Canis lupus familiaris (dog), 4577 nucleotides. RefSeq lists it as uncharacterized. The record is from RefSeq and is a predicted model, not a curated record. The transcript has 4 exons. NCBI's taxonomy places the organism in Eukaryota, Metazoa, Chordata, Mammalia, Carnivora, Canidae.